UACAGAGGGGGCAAGCGUUGUUCGGAAUUACUGGGCGUAAAGGGCGCGUAGGCGGCCAACUAAGUCGGACGUGAAAUCCCAAGGCUCAACCUUGGAACUGCGUCCGAUACUGGAUGGCUUGAAUCCGGGAGAGGGAUGUGGAAUUCCAGGUGUAGCGGUGAAAUGCGUAGAUAUCUGGAGGAACACCGGUGGCGAAGGCGGCAUCCUGGACCGGUAUUGACGCUGAGGCGCGAAAGCCAGGGGAGCAAACGGG
Molecule: ribosomal RNA, 253 nt
Filed under: uncultured bacterium
Lineage: Bacteria
Description: partial 16S ribosomal RNA
Rfam family: Bacterial small subunit ribosomal RNA
Source: RNAcentral